RNAcentral lists this ribosomal RNA (350 nucleotides) under uncultured bacterium. RNAcentral's name for it is "bacterial SSU rRNA". It matches the Rfam family "Bacterial small subunit ribosomal RNA", at positions 72 to 422 of the family's 1533-position model. The record is from RNAcentral.
UUGGGGCUUUGGCCUCAAGGGAGUGGCGCACGGGUGAGUAGCGCGUGGGAACCUGCCCUGUUGUGGGGGAUAACCGAGGGAAACUUCGGCUAAUACCGCAUGCGCCCGGUUAACUCGAAAGGGGCGACCGGGGAAAGAUUUAUCGCAGCAGGAGGGGCCCGCGUCGGAUUAGCUAGUUGGUGGGGUAACGGCCUACCAAGGCACCGAUCCGUAGCUGGUCUGAGAGGAUGAUCAGCCACACUGGGACUGAGACACGGCCCAGACUCCUACGGGAGGCAGCAGUGGGGAAUAUUGGACAAUGGGCGCAAGCCUGAUCCAGCAAUGCCGCGUGAGUGAUGAAGGCCUUAGGG